GAUGAACGUUGGCGGUGUGCCUAAUACAUGCAAGUCGAACGGUGACGAUUUUUGUAGUAAUACGAAUGAAAUCACAGUGGCGAACGGGUGAGUAACGCGUUGGUGAUCUGCCUCGAAGUGUGGAAUAACGCUCCGAAAGGAGCGCUAAUACCGCAUGUGCUCUCGAUGUUUAGAAAGUUGAGAGUAAAGGAUUUAUUCGCUUCGAGAGGAGCCUGCGUCCCAUCAGCUGGUUGGUAGGGUAACGGCCUACCAAGGCAAUGACGGGUAGGGGACCUGAGAGGGUGGCCCCCCCACAAUGGAACUGAAACACGGUCCAUACACCUACGGGUGGCAGCAGUAGGGAAUAUUGCAAAUGGGCGAAAGCCUGAUGUAGCAACGCCGCGUGUGCGAUGAAGGUCUUCGGAUUGUAAAGCACUUUUUGGAGGGAUGAGGAAGGACAGUACCUCCAGAAUAAGCCUCGGCUAACUACGUG
This 472-nucleotide ribosomal RNA is filed under the name uncultured bacterium. Its description in RNAcentral is "bacterial SSU rRNA". It matches the Rfam family "Bacterial small subunit ribosomal RNA", at positions 28 to 507 of the family's 1533-position model. The record is from RNAcentral.